RNAcentral lists this ribosomal RNA (497 nucleotides) under uncultured bacterium. Its description in RNAcentral is "partial 16S ribosomal RNA". It matches the Rfam family "Bacterial small subunit ribosomal RNA", at positions 28 to 507 of the family's 1533-position model. The record is from RNAcentral.
GAUGAACGCUGGCGGCGUGCCUAAUACAUGCAAGUCGAGCGAACGGACGAGAAGCUUGCUUCUCUGAUGUUAGCGGCGGACGGGUGAGUAACACGUGGAUAACCUACCUAUAAGACUGGGAUAACUUCGGGAAACCGGAGCUAAUACCGGAUAAUAUUUUGAACCGCAUGGUUCUAAAGUGAAAGACGGUCUUGCUAUCACUUAUAGAUGGGUCCGCGCUGCAUUAGCUAGUUGGUAAGGUAACGGCUUACCAAGGCAACGAUGCAUAGCCGACCUGAGAGGGUGAUCGGCCACACUGGAACUGAGACACGGUCCAGACUCCUACGGGAGGCAGCAGUAGGGAAUCUUCCGCAAAGGGCGAAAGCCUGACGGAGCAACGCCGCGUGAGUGAUGAAGGUCUUCGGAUCGUAAAACUCUGUUAUUAGGGAAGAACAUAUGUGUAAGUAACUGUGCACAUCUUGACGGUACCUAAUCAGAAAGCCACGGCUAACUACGUG